Austrofundulus limnaeus is the source of this 337-nucleotide long non-coding RNA. RefSeq lists it as uncharacterized. NCBI's taxonomy places the organism in Eukaryota, Metazoa, Chordata, Actinopteri, Cyprinodontiformes, Rivulidae. The record is from RefSeq and is a predicted model, not a curated record. The transcript has 3 exons.
AACACUGCAGGGUUAUUUUAUUGAUGAACAAAAAGACAUGCAGACAAAUAAAACAUUUCAUGUUUCACAAAUGCUUCUGUUUUUCUUUUCCUUUUCGAUUAAAAAAUUUUCAAAAAUAAAAAACAAUAAAAAAAGCAUCAUUACAUGAAGCUUCAGUGAGAUUUGACAGGCAGAUGUGAGGGAGAGCUGAGGGGUGGGGGAGAAAAAAAAAACCUGAUGUUUGCCCUGCAUGAUGGCCGCUGUCAGUUCUGCUCGGCUGGAACACAGAGGAGGUGAGUCAGGUGUGUGUGUGUGUGUGUGUGUGUGUGUGUGUGUGUGUGUGUGUGUGUGUUGUGUA